UACGGGAGGCAGCAGUGGGGAAUAUUGCACAAUGGGCGAAAGCCUGAUGCAGCUAUGCCGCGUGUAUGAAGAAGGCCUUAGGGUUGUAAAGUACUUUCAUCGGGGAGGAAAAAACAAAACUAAUAAUUUUAUUUCUUGACGUUACCCGAAAAAGAAGCACCGGCUAACUCCGUGCCAGCAGCCGCGGUAAUACGGAGGGUGCUAGCGUUAAUCAGAAUUACUGGGCGUAAAGAGCACGUAGGUGGUUUUUUUAAGUCAGAUGUGAAAUCCCUGGGCUUAACCUGGAACUGCAUUUUGAAACUGAAAUACUAGAGUAUCGUAGAGGGAGGUAGAAUUCUAGGUGUAGCGGUGAAAUGCGUAGAUAUCUGGAGGAUACCUGUGGCGAAAGCGGCCUCCUAAACGAAUACUGACACUGAGGUGCGAAAGCGUGGGGAGCGAAACAGGGAUUAGAUACC
This 455-nucleotide ribosomal RNA is filed under the name uncultured bacterium. RNAcentral's name for it is "bacterial SSU rRNA". It matches the Rfam family "Bacterial small subunit ribosomal RNA", at positions 340 to 786 of the family's 1533-position model. The record is from RNAcentral.